GUGCUUACUUCAGCAGCACAUAUACUAAACUUGGAAUGAUACAGAGAAGAUUAGCAUAACCCUUGUGCAAGAAUGACAUGCAAAUUUGUGAAGCAUUGCAUAUUUUC
This is a small nuclear RNA of Pteropus vampyrus (large flying fox), 107 nucleotides long. The record is from Ensembl. NCBI's taxonomy places the organism in Eukaryota, Metazoa, Chordata, Mammalia, Chiroptera, Pteropodidae.